GGGUUGUGAGGUUAAGCGACUAAGCGUACACGGUGGAUGCCCUGGCAGUCAGAGGCGAUGAAGGACGUGCUAAUCUGCGAUAAGCGUCGGUAAGGUGAUAUGAACCGUUAUAACCGGCGAUUUCCGAAUGGGGAAACCCAGUGUGAUUCGUCACACUAUCAUUAACUGAAUCCAUAGGUUAAUGAGGCGAACCGGGGGAACUGAAACAUCUAAGUACCCCGAGGAAAAGAAAUCAACCGAGAUUCCCCCAGUAGCGGCGAGCGAACGGGGAGCAGCCCAGAGCCUGAAUCAGUGUGUGUGUUAGUGGAAGCGUCUGGAAAGGCGCGCGAUACAGGGUGACAGCCCCGUACACAAAAAUGCACAUGCUGUGAGCUCGAUGAGUAGGGCGGGACACGUGGUAUCCUGUCUGAAUAUGGGGGGACCAUCCUCCAAGGCUAAAUACUCCUGACUGACCGAUAGUGAACCAGUACCGUGAGGGAAAGGCGAAAAGAACCCCGGCGAGGGGAGUGAAAAAGAACCUGAAACCGUGUACGUACAAGCAGUGGGAGCCUCUUUAUGGGGUGACUGCGUACCUUUUGUAUAAUGGGUCAGCGACUUAUAUUCUGUAGCAAGGUUAACCGAAUAGGGGAGCCGAAGGGAAACCGAGUCUUAACUGGGCGUUAAGUUGCAGGGUAUAGACCCGAAACCCGGUGAUCUAGCCAUGGGCAGGUUGAAGGUUGGGUAACACUAACUGGAGGACCGAACCGACUAAUGUUGAAAAAUUAGCGGAUGACUUGUGGCUGGGGGUGAAAGGCCAAUCAAACCGGGAGAUAGCUGGUUCUCCCCGAAAGCUAUUUAGGUAGCGCCUCGUGAAUUCAUCUCC
RNAcentral lists this ribosomal RNA (862 nucleotides) under Escherichia coli. RNAcentral describes it as "bacterial LSU rRNA". It matches the Rfam family "Bacterial large subunit ribosomal RNA", at positions 1 to 897 of the family's 2925-position model. The record is from RNAcentral. Lineage: Bacteria; Pseudomonadati; Pseudomonadota; Gammaproteobacteria; Enterobacterales; Enterobacteriaceae.